CUACGGGAUGCUCCAGUGGGGAAUAUUGCACAAUGGGCGCAAGCCUGAUGCAGCCAUGCCGCGUGUAUGAAGAAGGCCUUCGGGUUGUAAAGUACUUUCAGCGGGGAGGAAGGGAGUAAAGUUAAUACCUUUGCUCAUUGACGUUACCCGCAGAAGGAGCACCGGCUAACUCCGUGCCAGCAGCCGCGGUAAUACGGAGGGUGCAAGCGUUAAUCGGAAUUACUGGGCGUAAAGCGCACGCAGGCGGUUUGUUAAGUCAGAUGUGAAAUCCCCGGGCUCAACCUGGGAACUGCAUCUGAUACUGGCAAGCUUGAGUCUCGUAGAGGGGGGUAGAAUUCCAGGUGUAGCGGUGAAAUGCGUAGAGAUCUGGAGGAAUACCGGUGGCGAAGGCGGCCCCCUGGACGAAGACUGACGCUCAGGUGCGAAAGCGUGGGGAGCAAACAGGAUUAGAUACCCGCGUAGUC
RNAcentral lists this ribosomal RNA (464 nucleotides) under uncultured bacterium. RNAcentral describes it as "partial 16S ribosomal RNA". It matches the Rfam family "Bacterial small subunit ribosomal RNA", at positions 339 to 795 of the family's 1533-position model. The record is from RNAcentral.